This 381-nucleotide long non-coding RNA is filed under the name Capsella rubella. RNAcentral describes it as "long non-coding RNA (CRUB_LNC005073)". Lineage: Eukaryota; Viridiplantae; Streptophyta; Magnoliopsida; Brassicales; Brassicaceae. The record is from RNAcentral.
AGAAAUUGCCAUCAAUAUCACCAACAAUUGCUCGAAUAUGAUCCUCAAAUCAUGUUAUUAUUAAAUCUUCUAGUAUCUCUAUUUAAGCCUCACCAUCGUUAGCCUCAUUGAUUAACCCAUCACUAAUAUCGAGUAGCCAUUUAGAAAAUGUAAUACCUCGUAAGAUAUUGCCUCUCUUCACCUGCGUAAAAGCCUUAGUUAAUCUACUUUUUAUUAAAAAAAAUUUUUUUUAAAAUUUAAACAAUAAUAUACCUGGUAGUUGAGAAAACAUAUAUUUAUUUAUUUUAUCAACGUCGUUGUUUCUUGAAUUAAGAAUAGCUCUUAUCCUGAAAAGCACGUCGGUGUUGCAAAUGAAUUACCAUAAAUAUCACCAACAAUUGC